RNAcentral lists this ribosomal RNA (357 nucleotides) under Escherichia coli. RNAcentral describes it as "bacterial SSU rRNA". It matches the Rfam family "Bacterial small subunit ribosomal RNA", at positions 1 to 362 of the family's 1533-position model. The record is from RNAcentral. Lineage: Bacteria; Pseudomonadati; Pseudomonadota; Gammaproteobacteria; Enterobacterales; Enterobacteriaceae.
UCAACGGAGAGUUUGAUCCUGGCUCAGGACGAACGCUGGCGGCGUGCUUAACACAUGCAAGUCGAGCGGUAAGGCCCUUCGGGGUACACGAGCGGCGAACGGGUGAGUAACACGUGGGUGAUCUGCCCUGCACUUCGGGAUAAGCCUGGGAAACUGGGUCUAAUACCGGAUAUGACCUUCGGCUGCAUGGCUGAGGGUGGAAAGGUUUACUGGUGCAGGAUGGGCCCGCGGCCUAUCAGCUUGUUGGUGGGGUAAUGGCCUACCAAGGCGACGACGGGUAGCCGACCUGAGAGGGUGACCGGCCACACUGGGACUGAGACACGGCCCAGACUCCUACGGGAGGCAGCAGUGGGGAAU